This 442-nucleotide long non-coding RNA is filed under the name Coffea arabica (coffee). RNAcentral's name for it is "long non-coding RNA (CARA_LNC007850)". The record is from RNAcentral. Lineage: Eukaryota; Viridiplantae; Streptophyta; Magnoliopsida; Gentianales; Rubiaceae.
UUCUCCUUUUCAAACUGCCAACAUAGAGAUCUGAUACAUCACUCCUACAAUGGACAACCUUGCAUAUUCUCCAAAUCUCAUGUUAUUUUCAUAUGCAUCAAUAACUAUCUGUAUUCGUCUACUUCCAUCAGUUGCAAGUAUAGAAGACUUUUAUAUCCUGAUUGCUGAUUGAAACCUGAAGAAUUCCAUGAGAACAGAAAUAUCUGCGACCAAUCGAACUAUUGACUUCUAAAGAUGAGAAUCCCUCUGAAUCCUCCUAUGGAGAUAAGAGAAUUAUGUGUCAAAUAUAGAUAAUCUUUUCUUGCUGGCUAUUCUAUGUAAACUGUUUUCUCAUGGAAACUGUUUUCUUGCUGGUGGUGAUCUAUUGUCUUUCCUUACUUUUUUCUUUUCAUUAAUUUUUUACAAAAUUUGAUUGACUUUUAGCACUUUUGAUCUUAGAAGA